This 267-nucleotide long non-coding RNA is filed under the name Ananas comosus (pineapple). RNAcentral's name for it is "long non-coding RNA (ACOM_LNC028055)". Lineage: Eukaryota; Viridiplantae; Streptophyta; Magnoliopsida; Poales; Bromeliaceae. The record is from RNAcentral.
UUGAAUGUCAAAUGUGAUGUAAUAGAUAGUUAUAUCUCUCUUUUAUUCACUUGUUCAUACUUGUGAUGCUUGCUCUUGUAAUGUUCGGCACUGGUUGUGCCCUCGCUAUUGUUUUGAUCAUGUAUGUAUUCAAGUUGAUUUCCUGGGAACUUGUUGUACAUGAUCCGGUUGUUUAGCCUUGGGCGGACAGGGGAGGUGCUGUCCGUCCGGCGUCUGUUCGACGCGCCCGGAUCGGACCAAAUUGGUAGCGGUCUCGGGGCGUGACAG